CCAGGCCUGGGGCCAUUACAUUGCAAUGUAAUGCAUUACAUUACAAUUACUUUGUGAUUCUUCCAUUACAAUUACAAUUACAAUUACAUUUUUUCUCACAUGUAAUACAUUACAUUACAAUUACUUUGCCUAUGUAAUGCAUUACAUUACACAUUACUUUUUCAAUAUAAAAACUAAAAACAUUUCAAAAAACAGAUUUUUAUAAGAAAUUGAUAAAUAAUACAGGGGUAUAUGAAGAUAUAUAUACAGUGUUAGUGACAUAGACUUCAAA
Molecule: long non-coding RNA, 271 nt
Filed under: Mytilus galloprovincialis (Mediterranean mussel)
Lineage: Eukaryota; Metazoa; Mollusca; Bivalvia; Mytilida; Mytilidae
Source: RNAcentral